RNAcentral lists this long non-coding RNA (5085 nucleotides) under Homo sapiens (human). Its description in RNAcentral is "HSALNT0293980". Lineage: Eukaryota; Metazoa; Chordata; Mammalia; Primates; Hominidae. The record is from RNAcentral.
GCAGAUUGCUGCAUGCUCAUCAGUCCUCCUGUAGGUGGGAAGUGGCCUCCGUGCACAUUAUGUGAAGGCCAUGAAAUGAAACGACUGCUGAAUGGUCAAUGGGAUGAUCCUAGGGAGAGGGAAUGGGCUGUUUUCUCUUGGGUGCUUAAAUUAAUGACAUUUAUUUUUUAUUUUUGGUAUACUUUUCCCUAGAUUCAGAAGUUUAGCCAUCUAGCUUAAAAAAGCCAGAAUUGAUCCCUACUCUCUGACAUAUUCAAAUGGCUAAACAAAAUAGAAAAAGUGACUAAACUAUAGAAUUCUGGACUCAGAGAGUCAUGGUUUCCUAGAAUUAUACAGAUGAAUGCAAGAGAUAUCGUAGAGAUGAUUCCUGGGUUAGGUGGGUGGUCUUCAACUCUGAGAUUCUGUCAUUUGAUGACUUUUACUCUGCUAGAUCUGGUAAGUUUCUUCUGGGAGACAAUUUUUCUGCCAUUCAGAAUCUCAGAGAGGUUUUAACUGAAACAGUCUCUCAAUAAAAGCCUCGUGUCAGAUACUCUCCUUUGUAGGGAAGCAGUGCUGACAGUAGCUGGGAAGAACUGAGUGGCCUCAAACAAAAAGAAAAGGAAAGCAAGUUUGAAAGAUAUAACUGUCAUUAUUUCCUUUGGAGAGAUAAUUAUCUUGACAUAAAAGUUACAUUUCAUGUAUAACCCACGAUUUGUAAAUAGAGUCAUGGGUCUCCUGCUAGUAGAUGUGGGCAAUGAACACUUGCCAGAAUUGUGCGUGUGUUUUGCUCUGAAUUUCGUUGCACAGACUGAAGUUUUAUAGACUUAGGACUUACAUUUUAACCUAUGACCUAUUUUGAGUUAUACAUGGUAAGAGAUGAGGGUCUAAGAUUUUUUUUGUUUUUUUUGUAUAUGAAUAUAUAAUUGUUCCAGCACCAUUUAUUGAAAAGACUCUCUUUUCCCUCAUUGAAUUGCUUUGUCACCUUUGUCAAAAUCAAUUGACUGUAAGUAUGAAGAUUUAUUUCUGGACUCUAUUCUGUCUGUUUGAUCAAUUAUGUCUGUCCAUACACAAAUAGCAUACUGUCUUGAUUACUAUAGAUUUAUAGUAAAUUUUGUUUAAGUCCUCCAACUUUGUUCUUUUUGUUCAGUUUUUUUUUUUUUGGUUGUUCGCAGUCCUUUGAAUUUUCACAUAAAUUUUACAAUCAGUUUGUUAAUUUCUACAAAAGCAGGGUCUCUGGAUCAUAUGGUGGAAUCAGCAUUCAUCAAUGUAAUAAACCAGUGGUCUUAUGGAAAGAUGAUCAAGUCCCUGCAGACUAUAAUAUAACAUUUAGGUUUGAAGGGUUGAUAUACCCCAAGGCAUUUGGGAUCUGUAAACUGGCUCAAGUCUAGGAAUUGAUUGCAGAAACUGCGACUCUGUUUUUAUGAUUUAAAUUAGACUAAGUUCGUAUUGCCUGGAACUCUUCUGCUUAAACAGUGCAAAUAAGAAUGUAGUAGACCAGGUGUUUUAGCCUGUUCUUGCAUUGCUAUAAAGGAAUACCUGAGACUGGCUAGGACCUUGGCAACUCUGCUCUUCCUCCUGGCAAUCAGGCAUCUGGAAUGGCUGAAGGGUGAAUUCCAAGCAGCAGAAAGAGUGCCAGAGUCCUGGGCACUUCCUUCUUUGGAAUCUCUCUAUCAGCCCAGCACACCCCAGGUUGUGUUUUCUGAGCAGAACAAGGUGAUUCUCUGCAAUGUACUAGAGGAGAGGAAGGACCAGGAUGCACUGCAUGCAGCUGUCUCAACUCACCUUGCUCCUUUCUUCCUCCAUAACUUUGCUUUGGACAUUUUCUCUGCCUGGAAUGCCUUACCUUAUUCUCUCUCUUUCUCCUGGUGAAAUCCCUACUUAUCCUCUAAGGCUGAAUGAAAACACUGUCUCUUCUGGGAAGCCACCACCCCUCUCCCUCAAACCCUUUUCUCCCACAACUUUUUGUUCCUAGCCCUGUUGUAAUACUGACCAUAUUGUAUUAUAGUGAGUAGUCUGCCUGAGUGAGUGCAAUAACUUUUUUUUUUUUCUCUAACUCUUUGGCCCUAGGAUCUAGGAUGGUGCCUGGCACAUAUCAAUGAUAAUGAUGAUUAUAAUAACAAUUAUUCAUUAUAUGCUUAGCAGUUGCAAGGCACAGUGCUAAGAGCUCCGUAACAUUUAAUCUCCACCACAAUUCUAAGGGUAGCUAUUAGUGUUAUCCUAGUUUCUGGAUGAAGUGGUGGGUUUAGGGAGGUUCUGCAACUUGCUUAGGGUCCCAUAUCUUUUAAAGGGUGGAGCUAAGUUUUGAACCCAGUGCUUCAGAUAAAUACCCACCACAUAGUAGACAUUCAAUAAUACACUAAAUGAAUGAAUGGAUUCAAACCUCCACUUAUUCAGGCAAUUAACAUUUACUGAAGAUUUUUGAUGUGCUGAGUUCUGUGCUGGGGAUUAGAAGUGUACAUGCAAACAAAAUAAAACUUUCAUCUUUGAUGGGCAUGAAGAUAAGCAUUUAAAAAAACAAACAAACUCAGCUUCCAUGGGAGUCAGUGAGAUUCUUAGCAUCUGAGGGUUUCUAUGCAUGUAAUUUUUAUAUCAUUGUAAUACUGCUGUGGAAACUAUUUUGAGCUUUAAAAUCCUAAUCAUUGAAGAGGCUGGUGGAAAUAGUUUAGUGGAACUGAAACCUGAUUCUCUAGAGCUUUGAUAUAUGUGCCUUGGUUUUCCUUCAUGUACCUUAAGCAUUACUCUUUUGGGUUGAAAAUAAAUCAUAUAGGUUUUGUUUAAACAACACCAAGCAUAUUUAAAAAAUGAGAAUUUGGUAAGAAUAAUGGCCAGAUUAAAAAUUAGAUUACAGAUUAGCAGCUGGAUACCUAAAUGAUCAGAACAUACAGUUGUGGCCAUUAGCCUUACUAGCACACCUAGUCCAUACUAUCACUAAAUAACUAUUUGGCCCCUGUUUGUUUAAUGACCAACUCCCCUGUUAGACUCUAAACACUGUCUAGUUCACAGCAAUAUCUCUAGUGCAUGGUUUAUUGCCUGCUGCAGGCUUGGUUCUUAGUAGACAUAACUGGAGUAAGUGAAUGAAUGACUCAUUUACUGGGAAGGGUAGUUUGGGGGUAGUUCAUCAAUCAAUCCAUCUAUCCAUCCAUCCAUCCAUCCAUCCAUCCAUCCAUCCAUCCACCCAUCCAUCCACACACCCACCCACUUACCCACCUACCCAACCAUCCAUCCAUCCAUCCAUCCAUCCAUCCAUCCAUCCAUCCAUCUAUCCAUCCAUCCAUCCACUUCUUCAUUCAUCUAUCACCAGAUAUCUUAGGGAAUAUUUGCCAUGUGGUAAGCACUGUGCCUUGCACCAAAGGCACAGAGUAAAGCAGUGAUGGCACUGCUCUGGAUGGAAAAGCUCACUCUCUGGGUGGGGAAAGAGUCAGACCCUCCAUUGAGGUCUUCAAAUACCUCUUCUGCAGAUCUCUUGCCUGGCAUUUACAGUCCUAGAACUGUAAAAACUGGUCCUUUUAUUAGGGCAUUGUUUUUGUAAAUCACAAAUAUGCUGCAGGGUGUGCUUUUCAGUCAUUAACAACUUAGAGUGAGCUAGUUUCUCAGGUUUAGGAGGGGAGGGAGAGAAAGCAGGCCAUAUGGUUAUGGAAAGGACACUCUCAAGUAAUUGGUUUCUCCCUUCUCUAUAGUAGGAGGCCCUGGGUCAUGGGAAGGCAGCAAUGUAGCAGAAACAUGCCCAAUUGGCUUGAGUCUGUCACCACCUAGCUGUGCCAUGACAGGCAGCUUGGCCAACUCUGAGCCUCAGGCUCCUUACCUGCCUGGAAGGUGAUGCAGAACAAAUGCUGCUGUAGUCAUGAAAGGGUCCUGUGAAUCACAUGACUACAUGCUCUUCCCCUUGCCAAGGAAGGGGUGAGUUUUUCAGACCUGACAGCCAUGCACACACCUGCUGCUCUGCAGAUGGCCUCUUCUGUGCUGCUUUCUUUUUAGAGGAAGCCCUUCAAGCUUCUUGUAUCAGGUGCCACACAGACAUUAGUUGCAUCUUCAUUGUCCUCUCCUGUGAAGGCAGAACCUGGUGCUGAGUCCCCAGCAUUUCCAGCUCCAGGGUGCAUCACGGAGCUGCACCCCAAUGCCAGCUUGUCCUGGCCCUCGGGAGCACAAACCUCCUGGGAAGGGCCCUCAGAGGACUGCCAGGUUCUGUCCUAUCCAGCAGGGCCUUCUUCCAGGCACAUCUUUGUCACGUGAGCUUGAGGACAAGGAAACUCUUUCCCUGACCUGGAGCUGCUGUGAUUGGCUGACAUCGGGCCGCUUGUUACAAGAGGGCCCCUCUGGCAGUGAACGAGGCUAAUACAGUGUGUUUCUGCUCAGGCUUGUUAAUGCCUUUCAUUGCUUUCUCUCUGUCCACACAGGAGGCUGCUUGUGUUAGCCUCAUUUUCGGUAGACUCUACUCAACUGUGGCAAUGAUGGGCACCUGUAGUACCAAGCUCAUAUCUCACUAGAUUUGCUGCAAAGAAGACCAAGCAAAGUUCCAAGGCUGAUGCUUUGCAGCCCAGAAUGGAUCAUGACUAUUACCUUGAUUGGCCAGGCCUAGGACGGGGGUAACCACUCUCAAGCCCUUGGACUGAGACUGGGGGAAAAGUGGUUCCCCAGGAAAAACUGAGUUCCUAUUAUCUAAAGAAGACAUGAAUAUUCAGCAGAAAAACAUCACAUUUCCACACUUUUAAACUCUGAAAUAUGUGGCUAGGUAUAAGUCAAAGCCAGAAAUUAAAUGAGGGAACAGUUCUCUGAGGCCUUCACGCAGCUGUUAAUGUUCCUAGAAAGUGAAGGGGUUUUCCCUGAUCUAUUCUAUAACGUAUCUUAAGUAGAGUACUUUCAAGUUCUUGUCCUGGAAAAUCACCACAUGAUUAACAAACCCAUAGACUGGAAAAUUGGGGAAGGGCAGGCAGAAGACUACAAGAGAACUCUUGUACCCUUUCAACAAAUAGGCAGCAUCACUUAGCACAAAGGAGGAAAUGAAGCAAUAAUUGAAACCAUGAAGUGGGUAUCUUUGUAUGCGUGCAUGUUGUGAAAAAACGUGCAUCAUCCACAUUAACACAUAGCCAGAUGAAAACCCAAGUCAUC